This 386-nucleotide ribosomal RNA is filed under the name Salmonella enterica subsp. enterica serovar Oranienburg. RNAcentral describes it as "bacterial SSU rRNA". It matches the Rfam family "Bacterial small subunit ribosomal RNA", at positions 869 to 1255 of the family's 1533-position model. Lineage: Bacteria; Pseudomonadati; Pseudomonadota; Gammaproteobacteria; Enterobacterales; Enterobacteriaceae. The record is from RNAcentral.
CCGCCUGGGGAGUACGGCCGCAAGGUUAAAACUCAAAUGAAUUGACGGGGGCCCGCACAAGCGGUGGAGCAUGUGGUUUAAUUCGAUGCAACGCGAAGAACCUUACCUGGUCUUGACAUCCACGGAACUUUCCAGAGAUGGAUUGGUGCCUUCGGGAACCGUGAGACAGGUGCUGCAUGGCUGUCGUCAGCUCGUGUUGUGAAAUGUUGGGUUAAGUCCCGCAACGAGCGCAACCCUUAUCCUUUGUUGCCAGCGAUUCGGUCGGGAACUCAAAGGAGACUGCCAGUGAUAAACUGGAGGAAGGUGGGGAUGACGUCAAGUCAUCAUGGCCCUUACGACCAGGGCUACACACGUGCUACAAUGGCGCAUACAAAGAGAAGCGACCU